UACGUAGGGUGCGAGCGUUUGUCCGGAAUUAUUGGGCGUAAAGGGCUCGUAGGCGGUCUGUUGCGUCGGGAGUGAAAACUCAGGGCUUAACCCUGAGCUUGCAGUGGGUACGGGCAGACUAGAGUGCGGUAGGGGGAGACUGGAAUUCCUGGUGUAGCGGUGAAAUGCGCAGAUAUCAGGAGGAACACCGGUGGCGAAGGCGGGUCUCUGGGCCGUAACUGACGCUGAGGAGCGAAAGCAUGGGGAGCGAACAGG
RNAcentral lists this ribosomal RNA (255 nucleotides) under uncultured bacterium. Its description in RNAcentral is "partial 16S ribosomal RNA". It matches the Rfam family "Bacterial small subunit ribosomal RNA", at positions 524 to 776 of the family's 1533-position model. The record is from RNAcentral.